UUUGGGAGGCCAACGCUGGUGAAUCGCUUGAGCCCAGCAAUUUGAGACCAAUCUGGGCAACAAAGUGAGACUUCCAUCUCUACAAAGA
Colobus angolensis palliatus is the source of this 88-nucleotide microRNA precursor. Lineage: Eukaryota; Metazoa; Chordata; Mammalia; Primates; Cercopithecidae. The record is from Ensembl.